AGUUUGAUCCGGCUCAGAUUGAACGCUGGUGGGAUGCUUUACACAUGCAAGUCGAACGGCAGCACGGACUUCGGUCUGGUGGCGAGUGGCGAACGGGUGAGUAAUGUACGAAUGCGCCUAGUAGCGAGGGAUAACUAAUAUUGCUGCGCGUAGCUAAUACCGCAUACGCCCUUCGGGGGAAAGCGGGGACCCUCUCGGGCCUCGCACUAUUAGAAGCGUUGAUAUCGACUUAGCUAGUUGGUGGGGUAACGGCUCACCACAAGGACGAUCCGCAGCUUGGUUUGAGAGGACGACCAGCCACACUAGACCGGAGACACGGCCCAGACUCCUACGGGAGGCAGCAGUGGGGAAUUUUGACAAUGGGGGAAACCCUGAUCCAGCCAUCCCCGCGUGUGCGAUGAAGGCCUUCGGGUUGUAAAGCACUUUUGGCAGGAAAGAAACGGCACGGAUAAUACCCCGUGCAACUGACGGUACCUGCAGAAUAAGCACCGCUAACUACGUGCCAGCAGCCGCGGUAAUACGUAGGGUGCAAGCGUUAAAUGGAAUUACUGGGCGUAAAAGCGUGCGCAGGCGGUUCGGAAAGAAAGAUGUGAAACUCAGAGCUUAACUUUGGAACUGCAUUUUUAACUACCGAGCUAGAGUGUGUCAGAGGGAGGUGGAAUUCCGCGUAGCAGAACGCGUAGAUAUGCGGAGGAACACCGAUGGCGAAGGCAGCCUCCUGGGAUAACACUGACGCUCAUGCACGAAAGCGUGGGGAGCAAACAGGAUUAGAUACCCUGGUAGUCCACGCCCUAAACGAUGUCAACUAGCUGCCAGCCCUUCGGGCCUUGGUAGCGCAGCUAACGGUGAAGUUGACUGCCUGGGGAGUACGGUCGCAAGAUUAAAACUCAAAGGAAUUGACGGGACCCGCACAAGCGGUGAUGCUGGAUUAAUUCGAUGCAACGCGAAAAACCUUACCUACCCUUGACAUGUCUGGAAUCCCGAAGAGAUUUGGGGGUGCUCGCAAGAGAACCGGAACACAGGUGCUGCAUGGCUACCGUCAGCUCGUGUCGUGAGAGCAAGUUGGGUUAAGUCCCGCAACGAGCGCAACCCUUGUCAUUAUUGCUACGAAAGGGCACUCCAAUGAGACUGCCGCACAAAACCGAGGAAGGUGGGGAUGACGUCAAGUCCCUAUGGCCCUAUGGAAAUACACGUCAUACAAUGGUCGGGACAGAGGGUCGCCAACCCGGGCGAGGGGGAGCCAAUCCCAGAAACCCGAUCGUAGUCCGGAUCGCAGUCUGCAACUCGACUGCGAAGUCGGAAUCGCUAGUAAUCGCGGAUCAGCAUGUCGCGGGUGAAUAUUCCCGGGUCUUGUACACACCGCCCGUCACACCAUGGGAGUGUUUACCAGAAGUAGUUAGCCUAACCGUAAGGAGGGCGAUUGCCAUUAUAGGAUUCAUGACUGGGGUGAAGUCGCAACAAGGCA
Molecule: ribosomal RNA, 1465 nt
Filed under: uncultured Bordetella sp.
Lineage: Bacteria; Pseudomonadati; Pseudomonadota; Betaproteobacteria; Burkholderiales; Alcaligenaceae
Description: partial 16S-23S ribosomal RNA intergenic spacer
Rfam family: Bacterial small subunit ribosomal RNA
Source: RNAcentral